This 497-nucleotide ribosomal RNA is filed under the name uncultured bacterium. RNAcentral's name for it is "partial 16S ribosomal RNA". It matches the Rfam family "Bacterial small subunit ribosomal RNA", at positions 28 to 507 of the family's 1533-position model. The record is from RNAcentral.
GACGAACGCUGGCGGCGUGCCUAAUACAUGCAAGUAGAACGCUGAAGAGAGGAGCUUGCUCUUCUUGGAUGAGUUGCGAACGGGUGAGUAACGCGUAGGUAACCUGCCUUGUAGCGGGGGAUAACUAUUGGAAACGAUAGCUAAUACCGCAUAACAAUGGAUGACACAUGUCAUUUAUUUGAAAGGGGCAAUUGCUCCACUACAAGAUGGACCUGCGUUGUAUUAGCUAGUAGGUGAGGUAAUGGCUCACCUAGGCGACGAUACAUAGCCGACCUGAGAGGGUGAUCGGCCACACUGGGACUGAGACACGGCCCAGACGCCUACGGGAGGCAGCAGUAGGGAAUCUUCGGCAAUGGGGGCAACCCUGACCGAGCAACGCCGCGUGAGUGAAGAAGGUUUUCGGAUCGUAAAGCUCUGUUGUAAGUCAAGAACGGGUGUGAGAGUGGAAAGUUCACACUGUGACGGUAGCUUACCAGAAAGGGACGGCUAACUACGUG